This 893-nucleotide long non-coding RNA is filed under the name Setaria italica (foxtail millet). Its description in RNAcentral is "long non-coding RNA (SITA_LNC000246)". Lineage: Eukaryota; Viridiplantae; Streptophyta; Magnoliopsida; Poales; Poaceae. The record is from RNAcentral.
ACUGAAUAUUUUGCAAAAUGAAAGUAUACGAGGUCUAAUGACUAAAGCAUGAGUAUUGCGAACGGUUCAGCGACUUAAUGAGCAAGGUAAUCCUGAUUAACCUAUACUAAUAGCACACAACAGCAGAAUACUCUUCGGUCUUCCCUUGGAAUUAAUUCUGGUCACAUGUCAGACCUACACUACUCAUACAAAUCAACACUGCAAAUUACAGCAGCUCAAUUACGUAUAGAGAAUCAGACAUCAACAGAUUCAAUUAUGCAAGUUUACGCCAAACAAUGGCUUGCACGCACGCUUGAGGAUCAGAAGAGUUCAGAACUGGCAGCAGCACAGAGCUACAGGCUGUUCGUCAGCGACGGCAACGGGACGUCCAUCGGGUUUCUCCACGAUCAGGUUCUGCACCUCUGAGCAGUACCCCGCAGCAGCCGCCGCCCGUCCACCCAUCUUCGUUAUGCGUGCAUCCCAUCGUGCCCCGCCACAGGUGCCGCCAUGGCGCCAUCAGCGCACCUGACGCCCGCGCGCUCCAUGGGGAAGUCGAUCUCGCCCGCCGCCCGCCGUCACCUAACCCGUCCGCGUCACAGCACGGGCCUGGCCUCCCCCGCGAGCAGGGGUGGACCUAGGGUAGAAUUUAAGAGGGGGCGCACCUUAAGAACUGCUAGAUCAAUGGAGCUUGAGUAUGGUGAAAAAUUAGUUUUUACCUUGGCGUCCAAAUUCUGAGUGAGGGCCUGUGCCCUCUCAGAAAAAAUUGUACUGCUGCUGCUUGUUGAUUGGCUGUACAGCCGUAGCCAAACAGCUGCAACAAGCAGAAAUGAGCAGGCUUAAUGUGGGUUCACCCCUGCCGGUGAGGUGUGGCUAUCCUCGCCCUCAAGUCUCGAUACCUCACGCGCAGCCGCUAU